RNAcentral lists this ribosomal RNA (458 nucleotides) under uncultured bacterium. RNAcentral describes it as "partial 16S ribosomal RNA". It matches the Rfam family "Bacterial small subunit ribosomal RNA", at positions 338 to 795 of the family's 1533-position model. The record is from RNAcentral.
CCUACGGGAGGCAGCAGUGAGGAAUAUUGGUCAAUGGGCGAGAGCCUGAACCAGCCAAGUCGCGUGAGGGAGUACUGCCCUAUGGGUUGUAAACCUCUUUUGUCGGGGAGCAAAAGCCGGACGUGUCCGGCUGUGAGAGUACCCGAAGAAAAAGCAUCGGCUAACUCCGUGCCAGCAGCCGCGGUAAUACGGAGGAUGCGGGCGUUAUCCGGAUUUAUUGGGUUUAAAGGGUGCGCAGGCGGAUUUUUAAGUCAGCGGUAAAAUCGUGGGGCUCAACCCCAUCCAGCCGUUGAAACUGGGGAUCUAGAGUGUGCGAGAGGUAUGCGGAAGGCGUGGUGUAGCGGUGAAAUGCAUAGAUAUCACGCAGAACCCCGAUUGCGAAGGCAGCAUACCGGUGCACAACUGACGCUCAGGCACGAAAGCGUGGGUAUCGAACAGGAUUAGAUACCCGUGUAGUC